GGCCAUGCAGUUUGUUUAAUUGAGAAUCCCACUGAAGAAAAUAGGCACAGGAUCAGUAAAUAUUCACAGACUGAAUCACAACAGAUUCGUUAUUUCACCCACCAUAGUGUAAAAUAUUUCUGGAAUGAUACCAUUCACAAUUUUGAUUUCUUAAAGUAAGUAUCUUCCUUUUGUUUGGAUUGUAUUUUGAAUAUCCUGAAAACGUUCUAGAUAGAAAAGAGUCCAUUCUAGUAUUCAUAAAAUUGCUGAGGUUUUAUUUUAUAAUUUCUAUUCACGUAUUAAUUAACAACUCCCUGUUGCUGUUUGAAGGCUCAUUAGCCAUUUUAAAAUAAGUCCCACCGCAGCUUGCACCAUGGCAGAGUUUACAUGAAACUUAGAGUCAGUAUGAUGCCAAAGUCUACUGAGUCUGAGUUCUUACCUGUUUCACCUCAAAGUGAUUUUGAGUAUACCUCAUAGCCUGUGUCUCAACUUAGAGUAUCUGAAUCAUUACCUGUUGGUUUACUGACACUUAAAGCCUGUGGUACUUGAGGAGUAGAGUAAUAGGCAAAGAGAAAUUUAAUUUUACUAUGUAGAUAAAGAAUGGGGCAAGCUGUA
This 594-nucleotide long non-coding RNA is filed under the name Homo sapiens (human). RNAcentral describes it as "non-protein coding lnc-GP5-3:1". The record is from RNAcentral. Lineage: Eukaryota; Metazoa; Chordata; Mammalia; Primates; Hominidae.